Alnus glutinosa is the source of this 405-nucleotide long non-coding RNA. RefSeq lists it as uncharacterized. The transcript has 3 exons. The record is from RefSeq and is a predicted model, not a curated record. NCBI's taxonomy places the organism in Eukaryota, Viridiplantae, Streptophyta, Magnoliopsida, Fagales, Betulaceae.
GACCACUUGACCGGUGGAAGGGAAAUUUUGCCUAAUUACACUGAAUGGAUUUGGCAUGGAGAGAAGAUUAGGGCUUCUGUAUCUAAUAGAGUACCUAUAGUUGAAUGGCUGCAGAUAAUGAGAGAUUAAAGCGGACAAAAAGGGAUGGGGCGCCCUACACUCAAGCAGCUUUGGAGACGGUUGGUUCAAUACUGUAGGCUGAAAAUAAUGCACUUGCAAGGGCAAUGGGAAACGCGGAAUACUCGGGCCGUGUUCGUGGAACGGGGCUUGGGCCAUUGCUGGUUAGACCCACUUCUCGCUCAUCUACAUCAGCGUCAUGCUUGUCCCAGGACCCUACAUAUGUCUUUGAAAUGAGUUCAAUGAAGGCGCAGCUGCAUGAACUGCAAGAAGAGAAUAGAAUCAUUA